Long non-coding RNA from Osmerus eperlanus (European smelt), 154 nucleotides. RefSeq lists it as uncharacterized. The record is from RefSeq and is a predicted model, not a curated record. The transcript is spliced from 3 exons. NCBI's taxonomy places the organism in Eukaryota, Metazoa, Chordata, Actinopteri, Osmeriformes, Osmeridae.
CACAGGGGAGAAGGAGUCGUUCUCAGUAGAAUAGUUGAACUGCUGUCUAUGUUUAACCCUGAUGUGACACCCCUACCCCAGCAGUCAGCCCAUCAGCACAGGAGUCUGUUGGAGCAGGCUGAAGAUCUAGCUCUCUCCUUCUCAAAUCGCCAGG